UACGGAGGGUGCAAGCGUUAUCCGGAUUUACUGGGUCUAAAGGGUGCGUAGGCGGGUUUGUAAGUCAGUGGUGAAAGCCUGGAGCUUAACUCCGGAAUUGCCAUUGAUACUGCUUAUCUUGAGUACAGUUGAGGUGGGCGGAAUGUGUCAUGUAGCGGUGAAAUGCUUAGAUAUGACACAGAACACCGAUUGCGAAGGCAGCUCGCUAAACUGUAACUGACGCUGAGGCACGAAAGCGUGGGGAGCGAACAGG
This 253-nucleotide unclassified non-coding RNA is filed under the name uncultured Chitinophagales bacterium. RNAcentral describes it as "contains 16S-23S intergenic spacer region". It matches the Rfam family "Bacterial small subunit ribosomal RNA", at positions 524 to 776 of the family's 1533-position model. Lineage: Bacteria; Pseudomonadati; Bacteroidota; Chitinophagia; Chitinophagales. The record is from RNAcentral.